CCUCGGUGCCUGCCUCCGCCCACCGACGGGAGCCAGACAGCUCGCUAGUUCACAGUUGCGGGCUUAUGUAUGGCUUUACCGUCUUUAGCGCUGCUUUGGUCAGCCGUGCACUAGUCGUUAUGCCCCACUGGCCGUACCCUAACAAACACAUCAACCGUUAACGCGCUCUUUCAUGACUCCCUGAGAACAGGCGAGUCGCCUACUGUAGCGUAACGGGAACCGCCGAGAAACUUGUGAUGACACUGGGCACACCCAGACAAUCCAGGAUACGCUCCGUUUUAAAGGCAGCUGCUAGCACCGGUAAUUCCUCUCUGCCAUAUAAGGUAACAGGUUCCUGGGACUAGCAUGCGGACACCAUUGGAGGGCUGUCGACCUGCCUACCACACCGCCCAAACAAACCAGCUCGAUCAAACUGGAUCUGCCUGUUGCUCAGGAGUCUGUGCCGAUGAGUUUCCCAGACAGCCUUUUGCUCUGACAUGGCCCCUGCAUGAGAGCCGGAGGUGAAGCUCUGGUCUUUUAGGGUGAGGAGAGCAGUUCACGCAUCUCAGGUCCAGUGAGGGUGGGACCAAAAAUGAAGAUGGGAACUGCCAGUCCUAGUGAGAGCUAGGGACUGGGUCAGGAUGACAGGCGAGAAUGGCUCCCUCCCACACACACACUUUUUUUGUGUGGUAAGGAGGUAGGCUGUUUGGUAAGGAUGUUAUAUGGCCUAAGAAAAAAUUUCAGGAAGGAAAUCAGGGUAGUAUGGGCAGGGGGUGUCACCAGAAUUCCGCAGAUGUAGCCAAACUGUAUUGUAAAAAAACUUUCUUAGGCCAUCAUGUGUCUGAAUGCCACACACCAGUGUGGAAAUCUUCCUCCCCACAGGCAGCGCUGGUCAGCUCACCCUCCAGCCGUCACUCUUCUAACCUGCCCCAUCAGUAUAGUGUAAUGCACUCCAUUUGUCCUCAUUCUGUUCCCCUUCUCUUGUCACAGACUCACAAGAGAAACCCAGGACAUUCUGAUCCAUUGGCAUCAUCGAGGUACCCUCAAUCGUGUCUACUGCUGGACAGACCGGCUGAAGCCAGUCCCAGCUCUUGUCGUUUCCUGUCCCAUCAUAGCCCAGGCUCGUCUCUGCUUUACUGCUAGAUUCCAAGUAACAGCCAGAGCAGGAACGUGUCCCCUUCCUGACAUGUCUCACACUCCCCAAGCCUCAGGCCAGAGGCCCACGCAGCCAACUAGUUCCAAGGCCAUCUGAUUUUCCAUGUGUCAACUGUAACACAAAGAAAACUGAAAACUUUUAAAUACCCAAAGAAUUUUGGAUGUCAAUUAUGGCAUAUUGACGGCAUUUCCCCUCACUGGACUGUUAAGGCCAUCCAGAGUUAGAAAUAGGAAUAUGUAGAAUUUCAAAAAUACUUACAAAAAUGUUAGACACAGCCUAUAAAUCAACACUUUUACAAGUAAAAGUAGGUACAUAUGGAAUACUAUAGGACAUAAAGAAAAAAACAUGGAGGAACUUAGUUGUGACAAUAACAAAACCAUGAAAUAAAAAUGUCACGAGUGGGCAACUAAUGGCAUUGUUUUCCACAGCAGCAGGGGAUGAGGGAAGUGUAGUAAGCUGUGUUUAAACUCACUAUCUGGGACUAACCUGCUCACACAGUUCCUUACUGAUGGGUCUGCUUGGUUGACCUCUGUGAAUGGCUACCCACCCACAUCCCCAGAGACUGCUGUCAGGCCAAGCCCAGCCCCACGAGCCCACACACUGCAGGCCAGCUGGUCAACUGCAGAUGCAGUCCAGGCCAGCAGCCUUCCCUCCAUUUCCCUUUGUGCCUCCCCUCUGCCCACAACCUCUCAGUUUGUCUCAAACACAGCUACUACAACACGUUUUAUUUUGCUGGAAAAGUCUAUGUAGUAAAGAACCAAACCUGGCUCCAUGAAGAAAACAUUUACCACAGCUUAAAUAAAGGAUAGGAGAGGGAAGGGAGGAGUGCCCUGCCUGUGCUGUCACGACCUCACUCUUACUCGGAGGCCAUAUAUGACGGAACUCCCAGGGGUCCUAGAGGAGCCUCUGCUUGGCCCUCUGAUAAGGCCUUGAUAGCAGCUGGGAUGUCCGAUUCUGGCACGCUGAAAUCCUGACA
This is a long non-coding RNA of Hipposideros armiger (great roundleaf bat), 2111 nucleotides long. RefSeq lists it as uncharacterized. Lineage: Eukaryota; Metazoa; Chordata; Mammalia; Chiroptera; Hipposideridae. The record is from RefSeq and is a predicted model, not a curated record. The transcript is spliced from 2 exons.